AGCAUCUGUCCGAUAGGGGCACUCACGCGCACACAGGGAGGCACACGUGUGCGCCCCUGACCCCCUCUUCCUUGUUGAGGCCAUCCAUGCUGCGGUCUACCCACGUGUCGCGGCUCGUCACGAGCGGCAGCGUCGCCCUUACACCGUCGUGCUGGACGACAAAACCCGCUGGCUGGUAUCUUGUUCCGAGCAGCACCUUGCCAGAGACAGAGGAGCUGCGCGUAAGCAAGCGUUUUGACUUUCUCAAUCACAGCGCGCAGUACCUGUUUCUCGGGCAGGUGAUGGCCCUCGCCGAGGAGGUCAAGUGCAUCCCAUCGCUGGAGUGGUUCUACACGGAGCUCAGCUUUUCACUGCCACCGACGAAAGAGGCGGAGGUGCUGGCGAACUACAUGAAUGAUCAGGAGCGCCUGCGGUGCGGACUGCGCAACCACUCCGAGGGUGGCACCAGCUCGUCCGAUAUUGCGUGGAGCAGGGAGCUGAAGGAGCGCGUGCAGCGCCGCGCUGAGGAAGACUUCUGCUGGCUCCUCACGCAUGAUCAGCGCAAAACGGAGAAGUUCUUGCAGGAGACGUUCAUCCAGUGGCACCACCGUGCUGACUACCUCGUGACGCGCAAGAGCCGCGAGAAGCGCGAGUUCCGCGAGGACCUGACGUUGCAGAAGGUGAUUCAACAAGGACAGGAGCGCAAGCGGCGCAUGCAGCGGCGCCGAAACCGCGACGAGGCGCGGCAGGAAGCCAUCAAGUCCGGAAAGGAGUCCGAGUGGGACAACUUCACGCAUGACGUGCUGCCGCGUGAGCUGCGCGAGGCGCUCGACCGCGAGAGCGACGGCAUGGAGGAUGUGCGACUCUCUCGCGCCGGCACGGCGACCGGUGGAUGGAGUCGCAGCAUGCGCUCUCACCCGAACUUUCGCUAAAGCCCCAUCGCGUGCGCGUGCACUCGUUUCGUUGCCCUUUCGACUGCUGAUAGAUAAGGGCCCCGCCCUCAUUUGGUCUCGACAGAGGCACCGGCUGGGCCAUACACAACUGCGGCGCACCAAAGCAGCGGCUCCUUCAGGUGGGCCCGGGAGGCUUUCUGUGGGUGCGGCACGCAGGCGCGGUAGCGCCGUUUGCAUGUUGCUUCUCUUCACGCCCUCCCCAUCACUUCAUCACACUACGACUGUCGAUGUUCGUCACUCCCCCUCUUCCUCUCUUGUGUCCACGGUGCACCCGCGUUUGUUCUUUGGCAGGCGAUGCG
RNAcentral lists this unclassified non-coding RNA (1231 nucleotides) under Leishmania donovani. RNAcentral describes it as "gene:LdHU3.24.2150(CDS-product:hypothetical_prote in_conserved)". The record is from RNAcentral. Lineage: Eukaryota; Euglenozoa; Kinetoplastea; Trypanosomatida; Trypanosomatidae.